GACGAACGCUGGCGGCGUGCUUAACACAUGCAAGUCGAACGAUGAACCCGGAGCUUGCUCCGGCGGAUUAGUGGCGAACGGGUGAGUAACACGUGAGUAACCUGCCCUUGACUCUGGGAUAACUGCGGGAAACUGUAGCUAAUACCGGAUACGACCCUCGGCGGCAUCGCCAGGGGGUGGAAAGAAUUUCGGUCAAGGAUGGACUCGCGGCCUAUCAGCUAGUUGGUGAGGUAACGGCUCACCAAGGCGACGACGGGUAGCCGGCCUGAGAGGGUGACCGGCCACACUGUGACUGAGACACGGCCCAGACUCCUACGGGAGGCAGCAGUUGGGAAUAUUGCACAAUGGGCGCAAGCCUGAUGCAGCAACGCCGCGUGAGGGAUGACGGCCUUCGGGUUGUAAACCUCUUUUAGUAGGGAAGAAGCGAAAGUGACGGUACCUGCAGAAAAAGCACCGGCUAACUACGUGCCAGCCGCCGCCGUAA
Molecule: ribosomal RNA, 484 nt
Filed under: uncultured bacterium
Lineage: Bacteria
Description: partial 16S ribosomal RNA
Rfam family: Bacterial small subunit ribosomal RNA
Source: RNAcentral